Molecule: small nucleolar RNA, 138 nt
Filed under: Ornithorhynchus anatinus (platypus)
Lineage: Eukaryota; Metazoa; Chordata; Mammalia; Monotremata; Ornithorhynchidae
Source: RNAcentral
ACCCUCUCAGGGUCACAUCUGGAGAGCUUCCAGUACUCUACCAGUGUCGACUAUGGGAAGGAGAGUCAAGCAGAGGCCUACCCAUUCCAUUCCUAGCUUGGCCAGUGGCUAACAAGUGGAAGGCAAUCUGCUACAAGU